UGGGCGGUAUCUACUUGAACUGCACCAACAUUAGAAAAAACACAUAAAAAUGGAUUCUGCCUAGAUCCGAUGUAUCGGACCGGGACAGAGGG
The sequence is a regulatory RNA element, 92 nucleotides long. It matches the Rfam family "pan motif". The record is from Rfam.